GACGAACGCUGGCGGCGUGCUUAACACAUGCAAGUCGAACGGAAAGGCCCUGCUUUUGUGGGGUGCUAGAGUGGCGAACGGGUGAGUAACACGUGAGUAACCUGCCCUUGACUUUGGGAUAACUUCAGGAAACUGGGGCUAAUACCGGCUAGGAGCUCCUGCUGCAUGGUGGGGGUUGGAAAGUUUCGGCGGUUGGGGAUGGACUCGCGGCUUAUCAGCUUGUUGGUGGGGUAGUGGCUUACCAAGGCUUUGACGGGUAGCCGGCCUGGGAGGGUGACCGGCCACAUUGGGACUGAGGUACGGCCCAGACUCCUACGGUAGGCAGCAGUGGGGAAUAUUGCACAAUGGGCGGAAGCCUGAUGCAGCAACGCCGCGUUCGGGAUGACGGCCUUCGGGUUGUAAACCGCUUUCGCCUGUUACGAAGCGUGAGUGACGGUAAUGGGUAAAGAAGCACCGGCUAACUACGUG
This 468-nucleotide ribosomal RNA is filed under the name uncultured bacterium. RNAcentral's name for it is "partial 16S ribosomal RNA". It matches the Rfam family "Bacterial small subunit ribosomal RNA", at positions 28 to 507 of the family's 1533-position model. The record is from RNAcentral.